RNAcentral lists this ribosomal RNA (700 nucleotides) under uncultured bacterium. Its description in RNAcentral is "bacterial SSU rRNA". It matches the Rfam family "Bacterial small subunit ribosomal RNA", at positions 67 to 745 of the family's 1533-position model. The record is from RNAcentral.
CUGCAGCGGACUUCGGUCCAAUGCUUUGUGAAACUUAGUGGCGAACGGGUGAGUAACAGGUAGACAACUUGCCUCAAUGACUGGGAUAACAUCGGGAAACUGGUGCUAAUACCGGAUAGGAUAUAGAUUCGCAUGAAUUUAUAUUUAAAGAUGGUUCUGCCAUCACAUUGAGAGAGGUCUGCUUCGUAUUAGCUUGUUGGUGAGGUAAUGGCUCACCAAGGCGAUGAUGCGUAGCCGAGCUGAGAGGCUGAUCGGCCACACUGGAACUGAGACACGGUCCAGACUCCUACGGGAGGCAGCAGUUAGGGAUAUUCGGCAAUGGACGAAAGUCUGACCGAGCAAUGCCGCGUGAAUGAAGAAGUAUUUCGAUAUGUAAAGUUCUGUUGUAAGGAAAGAAUGAUAGUGAUAGGAAAUGAUCAUUAUUUGACGGUACCUUACCAGAAAGCCCCGGCUAACUACGUGCCAGCAGCCGCGGUAAUACGUAGGGGGCGUGCGUUAUCCGGAAUUAUUGGGCGUAAAGGGUGCGUAGGUGGCCUUACAAGUCUGAGUUGAAAGCCCACGGCUUAACCGUGGAGGGUGCUCGGAAACUGUAAGGCUUGAAUCCAGAAGAGGCAAGUGGAAUUCUAUGUGGAGCGGUGGAAUGCGUAGAUAUAUGGAGGAACACCAGUGGCGAAGGCGGCUUGCUGGUCUGGGAUUGACA